Molecule: long non-coding RNA, 3101 nt
Organism: Entelurus aequoreus (snake pipefish)
Lineage: Eukaryota; Metazoa; Chordata; Actinopteri; Syngnathiformes; Syngnathidae
Exons: 4
Source: RefSeq, a predicted model, not a curated record
AAGAGUUAGGGCUGCAUGGGAUUCUGGGUAUUGGUACCGUCAGUGUAAGGUGUGUGGCUGCUGAGGUAGUACGCCUUGCUGUCACUUACGUGAGCAAGCUGACACUGCAUUCUGAAUGUGGUCGAGCAGGUACGCUGUUUGGGCAGGCUGUAGAGGGCGCCAAAAGCAGUGUCAUCACACCCUGAUUUUCGGGAGUCUCCCGGGAAAAAUGAGAGGAAGUAUGACGCUAUCAAGUGCCAUUUUUUCACAACUCGCGGGCCGCACUAACAUCAAAUUUCCACAUUAAAGUGCGUGCCGGUGUGUGUGUCGGAGACCCCUGGUUUACAUAGCACAAAGCGUUUAAGCUUUGUAUGCGGUGUUUUUCCAUUUUAAUUUUUUUUGUGGCUCCCAUUAUUUUCUUUAAUUUGUGAAACUUGCCAAAAUGGCUCUUUGAGUGGUAAAGGUUGCCGACCCCUGGUCUAAAGGGAAAGAACAAAUAUAUUUAGAAAGAAAAGAUUAAGCAUUUUAUUAACGCAUAUUAUUUCCAGGCUUUCGCGGGCCACAUAAAAUAAUGUGGCGGGCCAGAUUUGGCGCCGGGCCUUGAGUCUGAGACUGUGCUUUAAAAUAGACAUAUUUUAAAGCAUGAAGGGUAGGUCCAAGUUCUUGGUUCCGUAUCCAAUAUAGCCAAAUCCGUGCAGCGGUGUCAUGGGUACGUGGUAGAAGGUCAGGCCCAACCACAGCAGGCUGCGGAUCACACACACUUUGUUGGCACCUUCAAACUGGAGACUCCAUGAUCCUAUACAUGCACACAAGGAUUUUAACAGUGCCAACUCCUUAUAGAUACAGCAGUUUUUCUUGUGUUACCUUUUGGAAUGUCCUCACUCAGUGGAUCUAGGAAGUCUAAGGCAGGGUUCAACUCAGCCAUCUCCAGGAGGGACUUCUUUUUCAGGGUCUUAGGUUGAGCAAAAUGAAGAAAGUGUUCUAGUUUCCCGGCUUGAGAGUAAGAAAGUCCUAUGGGACACAUCACAUUUAUUUUCAAGUAAAUGUUCAUGUAUGUGGUCAAAAAAAAGUGAGACAGUCACCGCCAAAGCUACGGUUGAUAUGGACCACUCCGUGCGUGCUGGUGAUGAAGGCACCUCGUGGUACCACAGACGCUUCCUCGUUGAUGAGGUGAACCGUCACAGCGAGUCUGGUUUCCUCUGUCACUUUGUUCUAAACAUACCAAAAGAAACCAAAAUCGCAUGAACAUCUAUAGGUUCAUCUGAAGAAGAGGGGCGUUCACAAGCCUUGUAAUCUAUCCAUCCAUUUUCUACCGCUUGUCCCUUUUGGGGUCGCGGGGGGGCUCGCUGGAGCCUAUCUCAGCUACAAUCGGGCGAAAGGCGGGGUACACCCUGGACAAGUCGCCACCUCAUCACAGGCCUUGUAAUCCUUGACAUGUUAGGAGCACCACUGCAAGGAAGCUCGAGAAGGUCUUGGGUGAUCAUACUCACUGUCGACUCUUCGGCCGUGCCGUCAAGUCUGUCUCCCUGCUUUGGUUCGUACACAAAAGACGGGUCACCUUCGAAUCGGCCCUUCGCCGUUUUGGAGACGUCCUCAAUCAUUGCCGUUGUGGUGGUGGGGAUUAGGAACCAGUCAAUGCAGUUGAAGCUGGCGACCCCAACAUCGUAAUAGAGAAUAAUUAUAGCAUCAGUAAAGUUCUGUUGAUCUGCAUUGUAGGCUUCUUUCUAUUGUGUUUAUUUUCACAAAUAUUUUGUGUUGUUACAUUAUAUUAUUUUAACAUAUUCGGGUAAUAGGAGGGCAAAACUAUUUGAAUGAGAGCCAGUAAGUAGUUUUUGCUGUUUUUAGUUAAGGGAAUAAUGUAUUGUUUUUUUAUACUGUUGUAUAUUAGUAAACAGUAACUAAAUACGUUUGUUGCUAAAACAUGGACUAAAAUAUUUGUCAUAGUUUUAAUUAAAGGUAAAAUCACAAAAAAAUCAAAUGUGUUUUACUUGAUUAUACUGAAAUGUGCCUUAUGGACACACCCGAAGGAAGGUUUACCUGUAGAAAUGCUGCGUGUCCUUCAGCUCAUCAUCCCUCCUCCCUUGAGCGAUAAAGUAAUGCUCUUUUAAUCCGAGUAUUUUGCCCCAAAACAGCACCCGGUUGAAUUUGUAGUUCUUCUUCACGAUAAUCAGAGAAGUUUGCAGAGCUGCCCUUUGCUCAGAGUUCAAAAUGCACCCGCUGCCAGCAACCAGCUCCAGCGAGUAGGAUAACGAACUGGCGUCCAUGAUGGUUUAACGUAAAUAGCAACCCUACAGUGUUGCUGUCAAUUAGUUUGCUAGCUAACACAAGCCAACACUUCCGGACAUUCCUUUCGGUCACCUUAAUAUCAAUAAACCGAGUCGUCACACAUUCCUAUAAUUUACUUCGUCUUUUGCGUCGUUGUUGUCUGGUUUCUACUUGUCGAUGAACUCAUUGAGCGUCAUUUGUACGCGUACUUCCUGGUUGCUAUAACAACGUUUAAACAAAGCAUUUGAUUGGUAGGCGCGUGUCAGCUACACCUGACGUCACGUCAGAACUGGUAAAUAUUAAAAAUGGCGCCCAUAGAAGCGUUGCACGAAUUAAAAGAUUCUGUGUGGUGGAUGAGGAAGAUGGAGGCCUGCACACGCAUGCUAGCAACACUUUUUCAGCAUCUAUGGACUGGAAGUGUGUGCCGGGCUGCCUUCAGUAGAACCGUAGGACUGCGGGGUCAGAGACCCGUUUGAAGCCCCCACUGACGAUUUUGGAUUCAGCACUCUUGGAAGCGGAGCGAGCCAGUACCAAGCGAAUGGUGUAAAGCAGCAAGCCAGGCAGCCGCAACAGAUCCAUGGCCGAGCCCACCAGGCCCGCCGCGAUCACGUAAUUUACAAAAAAGGCCCCUUGGUCCGGUAGGAACACACACCUUGGUGCACAGAUGGCAAAGUUAGAAAAAUUUUCUAAUUGAAUUAUAUAUACUGAACAAAAGUAUAAACGCAACACUUGUUUUUGCUACCAUUUUUUAUGAGCUGAACUCAAAGAUCUAAAAUGUUUACUAUAUCCACAAAAGACCUAUUCCUCUCAAAUAUUGUUCACAAAUCUGUCUAAAUCGGUGUUAGUGAGCACUUCUU